This 353-nucleotide ribosomal RNA is filed under the name uncultured soil bacterium. RNAcentral's name for it is "bacterial SSU rRNA". It matches the Rfam family "Bacterial small subunit ribosomal RNA", at positions 26 to 406 of the family's 1533-position model. The record is from RNAcentral.
AGAACGAACGCUGGCGGCAUGCCUAACACAUGCAAGUCGAACGAGACCUUCGGGUCUAGUGGCGCACGGGUGCGUAACGCGUGGGAAUCUGCCCUUAGGUUCGGAAUAACUCAGAGAAAUUUGAGCUAAUACCGGAUGAUGACGUAAGUCCAAAGAUUUAUCGCCUAGGGAUGAGCCCGCGUAAGAUUAGCUUGUUGGUGAGGUAAAGGCUCACCAAGGCGACGAUCUUUAGCUGGUCUGAGAGGAUGAUCAGCCACACUGGGACUGAGACACGGCCCAGACUCCUACGGGAGGCAGCAGUGGGGAAUAUUGGACAAGUGGGCGCAAGCCUGAUCCAGCCAUACCGCGUGGGG